UCGGCUUAGAGUUUGAUCAUGGCUCAGAUUGAACGCUGGCGGCAGGCCUAACACAUGCAAGUCGAACGGUAGAGUAGCUUGCUACUUACGAGUGGCGGACGGGUGAGUAAUGUCUGGGGAUCUGCCUGAUGGAGGGGGAUAACUACUGGAAACGGUAGCUAAUACCGCAUAAUGUCGCAAGACCAAAGCGGUUCGUCGUACCAUCAGAUGAACCCAGAUGGGAUUAGCUAGUAGGUAAGGUAAUGGCUUACCUAGGCGACGAUCCCUAGCUGGUCUGAGAGGAUGACCAGCCACACUGGAACUGAGACACGGUCCAGACUCCUACGGGAGGCAGCAGUGGGGAAUAUUGCACAAUGGGCGCAAGCCUGAUGCAGCCAUGCCGCGUGUAUGAAGAAGGCCUUCGGGUUGUAAAGUACUUUCAGUCAGGAGGAAGGGUGUGAAUAAUUUCAUGCAUUGACGUUACUGACAGAAGAAGCACCGGCUAACUCCGUGCCAGCAGCCGCGGUAAUACGGAGGGUGCAAGCGUUAAUCGGAAUUACUGGGCGUAAAGCGCACGCAGGCGGUUUGUUAAGUCAGAUGUGAAAUCCCCGGGCUCAACCUGGGAACUGCAUUUGAAACUGGCAAGCUUGAGUCUUGUAGAGGGGGGUAGAAUUCCAGUGUAGCGUGAAAUGCGUAGAGAUC
RNAcentral lists this ribosomal RNA (681 nucleotides) under uncultured Pantoea sp. RNAcentral describes it as "bacterial SSU rRNA". It matches the Rfam family "Bacterial small subunit ribosomal RNA", at positions 1 to 698 of the family's 1533-position model. Lineage: Bacteria; Pseudomonadati; Pseudomonadota; Gammaproteobacteria; Enterobacterales; Erwiniaceae. The record is from RNAcentral.